Molecule: long non-coding RNA, 485 nt
Organism: Vicugna pacos (alpaca)
Lineage: Eukaryota; Metazoa; Chordata; Mammalia; Artiodactyla; Camelidae
Source: RefSeq, a predicted model, not a curated record
GCAGUGUGGGCAGCUGGGGUGAUUCCAAGUGUAACGGGUUCAGGCCCAGGAGGGGCCGGUUGGAGGCUUUUUUUCUGCCUACCUUCCGGAGGGCGACAGUGGGCUGGAGCCUGAAUUCGGCUACCUGAACCCCCAGAGUCUCGGCAGGUUGCUAGGCAACCCCAGAAGCCCCCAGGAAGGGCGAGGAGAAAAUGAACCUGUCCUGUAGUUUAAAUCACCAGACCAUGAGAAGCUACAUCUGGACCAGAAAGAGGGGCCUGCCCAGUACACAGAGUUCCUGGACUCCAAGUUGUAUGUAGGAGCUGGUUGAGGAAAACCAGUGACAAACCUGGACCACUAUGCCUCAGUUUCUUUGGUGCCUUCCUACUUUUCACAAGUCCCCACCCAGGACCUCCAGAGCUUGAAACUGUCUUGUGAUCCUAUUCUAAUCCAACACGUGAACAAUCUUCUGUGUUCCAAAGAAGAGGUGAGCUCUAAAGUGGAUU